AUGCCAGUGCCCUCCUCCACGCGCUGCCCCGCCGGGCCUCUCCUGCAACCGAGUCCCUCUCCCAGGCGCCCGCGUCGCCAAGUACCUCGACCAGCCGGAGCUUCUUCCAGCCUCGCGCGCCCGAGCCCCCGAGCUCCUCUGGUCGCGCACGAGCUCUGUGACCCCGACGGCCACUUCGUCAGUCUCGUCGCCGCCGUUGACUCGCAGGCCAGCACCUUGCCUCCUCCUGCCGACGCCCUCCACCACCCAGGCCAGCCCCCGUCGCCUUUCUCUUUUUCCUCCGUCCUUCUCCACCUCCCUAAUCUCUCUGCUCCCUCUCUGCUGCUAUGGUCAGGUGCCCCGUCGUCCGCGCCAAGACCAGCUAGCAGGCGCCCGCGUUCGUCGUCCCGAACCUCGCCUUCGCCUCACGCCUUCGCCUCAACUCCGGCCGGAUCGGCUCGGUUCCCCGCCGCCCCGCCAAGUCCAUGGGGCCGCCUCCCUGUCGCACGUCCGGUGAGGUCACCGGAGAGUGCCGUGCCUCUGCUGCCUCUCUAUCCCGCCGUCGCUCCUAGCUUCCUUCCCUGUUCCCUCUCUGAAUCCUCUCCCCGACCUUCAUUUCUUCAGGCUUCAAUAGCAGCCAUGGAGCCGCCCCGCUUCAAUUCGGCAGGGAACGGGACCCCGACGACCUCCACCGCCCGAAUCCACCGCCUCCUGCCGCCCUUCACCUCCUGCCGUCGCCCGGAUCCAGCGCCCCUCCGCCCGCCCAUCCCCGGCCUCCUGUGCUCGCCUGCUUCCUCUGCAUCGAAGCCGCUCGCCCUUUGUCUGCAUCGCCCCGAACCGGUCUCCCCUCCGCGCGUUGACCACGCCCUGCCUCACUUCGAUCUGCCUGCGAAGCCCAAGUCCAGCCAGCCGGCCUGCCUUGCCUCUCCACCGACCGGGCCGAGGCCCAUGCUUCGGUUUCGUUCCGGAGUUGUGAGGAUUCGUUCGACUCCGUCCGUUUGUCUUCUUCAUGGACUCGUUCUUCUUCCUUGCGGGAUCUCAGGCAAGAUGACCAUACCCUCGAAAUCACUUCUAUCUUUGCUUGCUAGUUGUUCGCUCGAUUGCUAUGCCGCGUUACCUAUCACUUGCUUAUCAAGCCUCCCAAAUUGCCAUGAACCUCUAACCUUUGUCACCCUUCCUAGCAAACCAUUGUUUGGCUAUGUUCCCGCUUUUGCUCAGCCCCUCUUAUAG
RNAcentral lists this ribosomal RNA (1209 nucleotides) under Triticum aestivum (bread wheat). RNAcentral describes it as "partial small subunit ribosomal RNA". Lineage: Eukaryota; Viridiplantae; Streptophyta; Magnoliopsida; Poales; Poaceae. The record is from RNAcentral.